AUGGGAUCAGGGGCUCUCAACUGGCUGGGCUGGUGGACAAGAGGUGUAACCACAGGUGGGGGGAGCCACGGCGAGAAGGUGGAGCAGCAUCCUUCCACCGUGAGUGUCCAGGAGGGAGACAGCACUGUCAUCAACUGCACUUACACAGACAGUGCCUCAGUCUACUUCCCUUGGUAUAAACAAGAGCCUGGGAAGCAGCCUCAGUUCAUCAUUGACAUCCGUCCAAAUGUGGAAAGGAAGCAGAGCCAGAGACUCACUCUUCUAUUGAAUAAGAAAGUCAAACACCUUUCCUUGCACAUCACAGCCACUCAGCCUGGAGAUUCAGCCAUCUACUUCUGUGCAGCAGAUACACACUGCUCCCCAGGCACCUGCAGCCUGUCUUCAAACCUGCCACCAGGGCUGGGGUGA
This is a non-coding RNA of Alexandromys fortis (reed vole), 408 nucleotides long. Lineage: Eukaryota; Metazoa; Chordata; Mammalia; Rodentia; Cricetidae. The record is from the annotation of a RefSeq genome assembly.